ACCUACGGGGGGCAGCAGUAGGGAAUCUUCCACAAUGGACGAAAGUCUGAUGGAGCAACGCCGCGUGAGUGAAGAAGGGUUUCGGCUCGUAAAGCUCUGUUGGUAGUGAAGAAAGAUAGAGGUAGUAACUGGCCUUUAUUUGACGGUAAUUACUUAGAGAGUCACGGCUAACUACGUGCCAGCAGCCGCGGUAAUACGUAGGUGGCAAGCGUUUUCCGGAUUUAUUGGGCGUAAAGCGAGUGCAGGCGGUUCCAUUAAUUCUGAUGGGAA
RNAcentral lists this ribosomal RNA (270 nucleotides) under uncultured bacterium. RNAcentral describes it as "partial 16S ribosomal RNA". It matches the Rfam family "Bacterial small subunit ribosomal RNA", at positions 337 to 599 of the family's 1533-position model. The record is from RNAcentral.